This is a small RNA of 102 nucleotides. It matches the Rfam family "dinG RNA". The record is from Rfam.
UAUGAUACUUCUGUUUUGAACGCUUCACCGCAUUGAACAGCCCGGCAGGAUGACCGGGAGAACGCAUCACCCUCGUUUGAGAAAGAAUGAGGGGCGGCUUUU